GGGGGGGGGGGGGGGGGGGGGGGGGGGGGGGGGGGGGGGGGGCGGCGGGGGGAGAGCUUGCGCGUGCGGGGGGGGGGGGGCGGAGGGGUGGGGGAUGCAUCGGAAUCUACUUUUUCGUGGGGGAUAACGUAGGGAAACUUACGCUGCUGCCGCAUACGACCUACGGGUGAACGCAGGGGAUCUUCGGACCUUGCGCGAUUGAAUGAGCCGAUGUCGGAUUAGCUAGUUGGCGGGGUAACGACCCACCAAGGCGACGAUCCGUAGCUGGUCUGAGAGGAGGAUCAGCCACACUGGAACUGAGACACGAGCCAGACUCCUACGGGAGGCAGCAGUGGGGAAUAUUGGACAAUGGGCGAAAGCCGGAUACAGCCAUACCGCGUGGGUGAAGAAGGCCUUCGGGUUGUAAAGCCCUUUUGUUGGGAAAGAAAAGCAGCAGGUUAAUACCCCGCUGUUCUGACGGUACCCAAAGAAUAAGCACCGGCUAACUUCGUG
Molecule: ribosomal RNA, 492 nt
Filed under: uncultured bacterium
Lineage: Bacteria
Description: partial 16S ribosomal RNA
Rfam family: Bacterial small subunit ribosomal RNA
Source: RNAcentral